RNAcentral lists this ribosomal RNA (500 nucleotides) under uncultured Glomeromycotina. RNAcentral describes it as "partial small subunit ribosomal RNA". It matches the Rfam family "Eukaryotic small subunit ribosomal RNA", at positions 591 to 1092 of the family's 1831-position model. The record is from RNAcentral. Lineage: Eukaryota; Fungi; Glomeromycota.
CCAAUAGCGUAUAUUAAAGUUGUUGCAGUUAAAAAGCUCGUAGUUGAAUUUCGGGGUUAGUAGGUUGGUCAUGCCUCUGGUAUGUACUGGUCUCACUGAUUCCUCCUUCCUUAUGAACCGUAAUGCCAUUAAUUUGGUGUUGCGGGGAAUUUGGACUGUUACUUUGAAAAAAUUAGAGUGUUUAAAGCAAGCUGACGCUUGAAUACAUUAUCAUGGAAUAAUGAAAUAGGACGACCGAUCCUAUUUUGUUGGUUUCUAGGAUUGACGUAAUGAUUAAUAGGGAUAGUUGGGGGCAUUAGUAUUCAAUUGUCAGAGGUGAAAUUCUUGGAUUUAUUUAAGACUAACUACUGCGAAAGCAUUUGCCAAGGAUGUUUUCAUUAAUCAAGAACGAAAGUUAGGGGAUCGAAGACGAUCAGAUACCGUCGUAGUCUUAACCAUAAACUAUGCCGACUAGGGAUCGGAUGAUGUUAAUCUUUUAAUGACUCAUUCGGCGCCUUACG